GAUGAAGAACGCAGCGAAAUGCGAUAAGUAAUGUGAAUUGCAGAAUUCAGUGAAUCAUCGAAUCUUUGAACGCACAUUGCGCCCGCCAGUAUUCUGGCGGGCAUGCCUGUCCGAGCGUCAUUUCAACCCUCGAACCCCUCCGGGGGGUCGGCGUUGGGGACCUCGGGAGCCCCUAAGACGGGAUCCCGGCCCCGAAAUACAGUGGCGGUCUCGCCGCAGCCUCUCCUGCGCAGUAGUUUGCACAACUCGCACCGGGAGCGCGGCGCGUCCACGUCCGUAAAACACCCAACUUCUGAAAUGUUGACCUCGGAUCAGGUAGGGAUACCCGCUGAACUUAAGCAUAUCAAAAGCGGAGGA
Molecule: unclassified non-coding RNA, 357 nt
Filed under: soil metagenome
Description: partial contains 5.8S ribosomal RNA, internal transcribed spacer 2, and large subunit ribosomal RNA
Rfam family: 5.8S ribosomal RNA (bases 1-120)
Source: RNAcentral